AACUGCCCAAGAGAUCGGGAUAACACCUGGAAACAGAUGCUAAUACCGGAUAACAACAGAUGAUGCCUAUCAACUGUUUAAAAGAUGGUUCUGCUAUCACUCUUGGAUGGACCUGCGGUGCAUUAGCUAGUUGGUAGGGUAACGGCCUACCAAGGCGAUGAUGCAUAGCCGAGUUGAGANACUGAUCGGCCACAUUGGGACUGAGACACGGCCCAAACUCCUACGGGAGGCAGCAGCC
RNAcentral lists this ribosomal RNA (238 nucleotides) under uncultured Lactobacillus sp. RNAcentral describes it as "partial 16S ribosomal RNA". It matches the Rfam family "Bacterial small subunit ribosomal RNA", at positions 124 to 355 of the family's 1533-position model. The record is from RNAcentral. Lineage: Bacteria; Bacillati; Bacillota; Bacilli; Lactobacillales; Lactobacillaceae.